GCGUGAGUGAUGAAGGCUCUAGGGUUGUAAAGCUCUUUCGCCGAUGAAGAUAAUGACGGUAGUCGGAGAAGAAGCCCCGGCUAACUUCGUGCCAGCAGCCGCGGUAAUACGAAGGGGGCUAGCGUUGUUCGGAAUUACUGGGCGUAAAGCGCACGUAGGCUGUGCCGCAAGUCAGGGGUGAAAUCCCGGAGCUCAACUCCGGAACUGCCUUUGAAACUGCGGUGCUGGAAUCUCAGAGGGGGUGGCGGAAUUCCAAAUGUAGGAGUGAAAUCCGU
This 275-nucleotide ribosomal RNA is filed under the name uncultured bacterium. RNAcentral's name for it is "partial 16S ribosomal RNA". It matches the Rfam family "Bacterial small subunit ribosomal RNA", at positions 399 to 691 of the family's 1533-position model. The record is from RNAcentral.